ACAGAUAAGGAGCUUGCUCCUUUGACGUUAGCGGCGGACGGGUGAGUAACACGUGGGUAACCUACCUAUAAGACUGGGAUAACUUCGGGAAACCGGAGCUAAUACCGGAUAACAUUUGGAACCGCAUGGUUCUAAAGUGAAAGAUGGUUUUGCUAUCACUUAUAGAUGGACCCGCGCCGUAUUAGCUAGUUGGUAAGGUAACGGCUUACCAAGGCGACGAUACGUAGCCGACCUGAGAGGGUGAUCGGCCACACUGGAACUGAGACACGGUCCAGACUCCUACGGGAGGCAGCAGUAGGGAAUCUUCCGCAAUGGGCGAAAGCCUGACGGAGCAACGCCGCGUGAGUGAUGAAGGGUUUCGGCUCGUAAAACUCUGUUAUUAGGGAAGAACAAACGUGUAAGUAACUGUGCACGUCUUGACGGUACCUAAUCAGAAAGCCACGGCUAACUACGUGCCAGCAGCCGCGGUAAUACGUAGGUGGCAAGCGUUAUCCGGAAUUAUUGGGCGUAAAGCGCGCGUAGGCGGUUUCUUAAGUCUGAUGUGAAAGCCCACGGCUCAACCGUGGAGGGUCAUUGGAAACUGGGAAACUUGAGUGCAGAAGAGGAAAGUGGAAUUCCAUGUGUAGCGGUGAAAUGCGCAGAGAUAUGGAGGAACACCAGUGGCGAAGGCGACUUUCUGGUCUGUAACUGACGCUGAUGUGCGAAAGCGUGGGGAUCAAACAGGAUUAGAUACCCUGGUAGUCCACGCCGUAAACGAUGAGUGCUAAGUGUUAGGGGGUUUCCGCCCCUUAGUGCUGCAGCUAACGCAUUAAGCACUCCGCCUGGGGAGUACGACCGCAAGGUUGAAACUCAAAGGAAUUGACGGGGACCCGCACAAGCGGUGGAGCAUGUGGUUUAAUUCGAAGCAACGCGAAGAACCUUACCAAAUCUUGACAUCCUUUGAAAACUCUAGAGAUAGAGCCUUCCCCUUCGGGGGACAAAGUGACAGGUGGUGCAUGGUUGUCGUCAGCUCGUGUCGUGAGAUGUUGGGUUAAGUCCCGCAACGAGCGCAACCCUUAAGCUUAGUUGCCAUCAUUAAGUUGGGCACUCUAGGUUGACUGCCGGUGACAAACCGGAGGAAGGUGGGGAUGACGUCAAAUCAUCAUGCCCCUUAUGAUUUGGGCUACACACGUGCUACAAUGGACAAUACAAAGGGCAGCUAAACCGCGAGGUCAUGCAAAUCCCAUAAAGUUGUUCUCAGUUCGGAUUGUAGUCUGCAACUCGACUACAUGAAGCUGGAAUCGCUAGUAAUCGUAGAUCAGCAUGCUACGGUGAAUACGUUCCCGGGUCUUGUACACACCGCCCGUCACACCACGAGAGUUUGUAACACCCGAAGCCGGUGGAGUAACCAUUAU
RNAcentral lists this ribosomal RNA (1394 nucleotides) under Staphylococcus sp. RNAcentral describes it as "bacterial SSU rRNA". It matches the Rfam family "Bacterial small subunit ribosomal RNA", at positions 69 to 1444 of the family's 1533-position model. Lineage: Bacteria; Bacillati; Bacillota; Bacilli; Caryophanales; Staphylococcaceae. The record is from RNAcentral.